RNAcentral lists this ribosomal RNA (449 nucleotides) under uncultured bacterium. Its description in RNAcentral is "partial 16S ribosomal RNA". It matches the Rfam family "Bacterial small subunit ribosomal RNA", at positions 330 to 793 of the family's 1533-position model. The record is from RNAcentral.
UCCAGACUCCUACGGGAGGCAGCAGUGGGGAAUAUUGGGCAAUGGGCGCAAGCCUGACCCAGCAACGCCGCGUGAAGGAAGAAGGCUUUCGGGUUGUAAACUUCUUUUAAGAGGGAAGAGCAGAAGACGGUACCUCUUGAAUAAGCCACGGCUAACUACGUGCCAGCAGCCGCGGUAAUACGUAGGUGGCAAGCGUUGUCCGGAUUUACUGGGUGUAAAGGGCAUGUAGCCGGGCCGGCAAAUCAGAUGUGAAAUCCCAAGGCUCAACCUUGGAACUGCAUUUGAAACUGUUGGUCUUGAGUAUCGGGGAGGCAGGCGGAAUUCCUAGUGUAGCGGUGAAAUGCGUAGAUAUUAGGAGGAACACCAGUGGCGAAGGGGGCCUGCUGGGCUUUUACUGACGCUGAGGCUCGAAAGUGUGGGGAGCAAACAGGAUUAGAUACCCCGGUGCG